RNAcentral lists this ribosomal RNA (301 nucleotides) under uncultured bacterium. RNAcentral's name for it is "partial 16S ribosomal RNA". It matches the Rfam family "Bacterial small subunit ribosomal RNA", at positions 509 to 809 of the family's 1533-position model. The record is from RNAcentral.
CAGUCGCCGCGGUAAUACGGAGGGGGCUAGCGUUGUUCGGAAUUACUGGGCGUAAAGCGCACGUAGGCGGCUCAGCAAGUCAGGGGUGAAAUCCCGGGGCUCAACCCCGGAACUGCCCUUGAAACUGCUAGGCUAGAAUCUUGGAGAGGCGAGUGGAAUUCCGAGUGUAGAGGUGAAAUUCGUAGAUAUUCGGAAGAACACCAGUGGCGAAGGCGACUCGCUGGACAAGUAUUGACGCUGAGGUGCGAAAGCGUGGGGAGCAAACAGGAUUAGAUACCCGAGUAGUCCUGUCUCUUAUACA